Molecule: unclassified non-coding RNA, 767 nt
Filed under: Hevea brasiliensis (rubber tree)
Lineage: Eukaryota; Viridiplantae; Streptophyta; Magnoliopsida; Malpighiales; Euphorbiaceae
Source: RNAcentral
AUAGAUUUCAAGAUAACACAACCUUACAUAAAGAAAAUUGGUAACUAAUAGAGUAUCCUCAACAGCAAGAUAGCGCCAAUAAAUUGAAGAGAAAUUUAUAACUGGCUUUCUUCCUUUUGUGCUUGUGCAGUUUUGGUGGCUUAUGUAAGGUAUAGGUAAAAGAAAUGGUAAUGCUUGGUUCUCUUUUGGCCUCUAGUUACCUCACUGGACUUACAUAAAAGGAUUAUGAAUUCAACACAGCCAUAACUGAAUCUCAAACCAUGAUUUUAAGAGGAUUAUAGUUAUAAGUACUGAGUUGCAUAAUUGAAUUUACAAAUUAUCAAGGUACCCAAAAUUUUAAGCUUCCAACAUUACAGGGAACAACAUAACUGUUGUCUGAUCUUUCCUCCUCAUAGAACUGCCAUAAGAUUAAAGCCUUCUUCAUUUAAUCUAUAAGCCCUCUACUCUUCACAGGUUUGAUGACUUGUAUACUUUUUUAUUUCCGAUAGCUAACCUAAUGAUUCUUAUCCACAAUAAAAUUUUUCGAAGAAAGAAAAAACUGAGCAAUUUAAAAUUGAAUUGCAUUCUCUUACAUCAAUGAAGGCAGGAUUAGGAAACGCCUGUUUGCAGAUGGUUCUCCAUGGCAAGAGCUGCAAGCAUUCCACCCUGAAUGAUGCAGUUCAUCUCCUACAUAUGGCACAGGUAGCCUACUGAUAACUUUAGAAUAAGCAGGUGAGUUUGGAUCUACAUCCACUGUGGCUAGAUAAUCAGGCUUCUCUCUUCCCGUU